Molecule: ribosomal RNA, 375 nt
Filed under: uncultured bacterium
Lineage: Bacteria
Description: bacterial SSU rRNA
Rfam family: Bacterial small subunit ribosomal RNA
Source: RNAcentral
UACGUAGGGGGCAAGCGUUAUCCGGAUUUACUGGGUGUAAAGGGAGCGUAGGCGGCAAGGCAAGUCUGAUGUGAAAACCCGGGGCUCAACCCCGGGACUGCAUUGGAAACUGCUUAGCUAGAGUGUCGGAGAGGUAAGUGGAAUUCCUAGUGUAGCGGUGAGAUGCGUAGAUAUUAGGAGGAACACCAGUGGCGAAGGCGACUUACUGGACGAUAACUGACGCUGAGGCUCGAAAGCGUGGGGAGCAAACAGGAUUAGAUACCCUGGUAGUCCACGCUGUAAACGAUGAAUACUAGGUGUCGGGUGGCAAAGCCAUUCGGUGCCGCAGCUAACGCAAUAAGUAUUCCACCUGGGGAGUACGUUCGCAAGAAUGAA